UACAGAGGGUGCAAGCGUUAAUCGGAAUUACUGGGCGUAAAGCGCGCGUAGGCGGCCUGGUCAGUCGGAUGUGAAAGCCCCGGGCUUAACCUGGGAAUUGCAUUCGAUACUGCCAGGCUAGAGUGUAGUAGAGGGAAGCGGAAUUCCAGGUGUAGCGGUGAAAUGCGUAGAUAUCUGGAGGAACAUCAGUGGCGAAGGCGGCUUCCUGGACUAACACUGACGCUGAGGUGCGAAAGCGUGGGUAGCAAACAGG
This 253-nucleotide ribosomal RNA is filed under the name uncultured bacterium. RNAcentral's name for it is "partial 16S ribosomal RNA". It matches the Rfam family "Bacterial small subunit ribosomal RNA", at positions 524 to 776 of the family's 1533-position model. The record is from RNAcentral.